GCGGGUGUGGCGGAAUUGGCAGACGCGCAUGAUUCAGGGUCAUGUGGGCUUACGCUCGUGGGGGUUCAAGUCCCUCUACCCGCACCA
This 87-nucleotide transfer RNA is filed under the name Candidatus Carbonibacillus altaicus. RNAcentral's name for it is "tRNA-Leu". It matches the Rfam family "tRNA". Rfam says of the family: Transfer RNA (tRNA) molecules are approximately 80 nucleotides in length. Their secondary structure includes four short double-helical elements and three loops (D, anti-codon, and T loops). Lineage: Bacteria; Bacillati; Bacillota; Bacilli; Thermicanales; Thermicanaceae. The record is from RNAcentral.